GUGCUCACUUUAGCAGCACAUAUACUAAAACUGGAACAUUACAGAGAUUAGCAUGGCCUCUGCACAAGGAUGACAUGCAAAUUCAUGAAGCGUUCCAUGUUUUU
This is a small nuclear RNA of Balaenoptera musculus (blue whale), 104 nucleotides long. The record is from Ensembl. Lineage: Eukaryota; Metazoa; Chordata; Mammalia; Artiodactyla; Balaenopteridae.